CAAGAAUGUCUCUCUUUGGACAAUGUCCUAGCCUAUCCCUGAGCGGCAUAGAGAGGAGGAGAGAGAGGACGGCAGCUGUGGCGGGUUUGACACCUGCGCAUCACGCCACGGACCGAGGCAUGAUCUCACUAAGCCGCUUAAUAAUGCCUCACCAUAUGGAAGCAGCUGAAGAAAAUAACAUAUCCCAGAUGGUCGACGAACAGGGACACCUACUCUGCCAACACCACGAUCAGCUGGCACAACUGGGUGCAGCUAUGGAUGAGGUCCUCUGCAUCCUCCACCGCCUCGACACCACCCAAGAGGAUUCGCCACCUACCACGAGUCGUCCCAGCGAGCCAGCCCCCCAGCCUACCCAGCAAUCCAUCCAGUUCAGCGAUGCUCGUAAGACGGGACUCCAUCCAAAUGCCGUGGCUUCCUACUCCUGUGCUCCCUCUAUUUCACCCAUCAGAUGGGAGCCCCCACCACUGAGAGGUCCAAGAUUGUCACGGUAAUUUCCCUGCUGAGCGGGCAGGCGUUGGAGUGGGCUACAGUAGUCUGGUAGACAGGAGAGGAAGAGCUGAGUUCCUACGAGAAGUUCAUGGCUCUGUUCAGAGUGUUCUUCAACCAUCCACUGGAGGGCAGAAAGGGAGGUGAGUGUCUAAUCCAACUCCGGCAGGGUGCCCAGCACCAAGAAAUCCUUCCCUUCCUCAUCAUCAAUGCACCCGUACACAAGUCACCCUCAGCCUCCCGUGGCUCCAACGUCAUGACCCCACCAUCUCCUGGUCGAGGAUGUCGGAAGACCUGAUUUCCCUUACCCUGUGGUUCAUCGUCAGUUGAGAGUCCUGUGGUUGCUCUCCAGCCCGACAUCCCAGAGGUUUACCAGGAUCUCCAGGAGGUUUUCUCCAAGACCUGCGCCACCUGUCUCCCUCGCCUGUCUCCCGUGCCAUUGACCUGCUUGCAGACUCUGCGCCUCCACACAGCCGUGUCUACCCUCUGUCGGUGGCUGAAACCAAGGCAUGGAGGAGUACAUCCAUGUGGCUUUCCAACAGGGUUUCAUUCGCUCAUCCAAAUUCCCUGCAUCGGGAGGCUUCUUCUUCGUGGCCAAGAAGGACAGAGGUCUACGUCCGUGCAUAAAUUACAGAGGCCUCAAUUCCAGCACCACCAAGUACCGCUACCAUCUCCCGUCGGUGCCAUCGAACAGCUCUGCGGGGCCCGUUUUCUUUACUAAACUGGUCAAUCUGAUCCGCAUGCGGGAGGGGGAUGAAUGAAAAAUGGACUUCAGCACGAUGUCUGGGCAUUACAAGAACUUGAUGUCUUAUGGAUUAGACAAUGCUCCGUCGGUGUUCCAGUCAUUCGUGAAUGAGGUGUUCUGGGACAUUUUCGGGCGCCCGGUGGUCAUGUAUAUCAACGACAUCGUGGUCUACUUGGACACCUUGGAGCAUCACAUCGCCCAUGUCCGGGUAGUCCUGGGACGCCUCCUGGAGAACCGCUUUUAUGUCAAAGCAGAGAAGUGCCAGUUCCAUCAGAUCGCUGUCUCCUUCCUGGGAUACCAGAUCAGCCCACAGGGAGUGGUCAUGGAGGAGAGUCAAGUCGAGGCAGUCAGGUCAUGGCCAGUCCCAACCACCAUAAACGGACUACAAAGGUUUUUGGGGUUUGCCAACUUCUACCGUCGCUUCAAUAAAAACUUCAGCUCCAUUGUCUCUCCUCAAAGGUGGUCCCCAUAAGUUGGUGUGGAGUCCUGCAGCUGAUGAGGCCUUCCACCUACUGAAGGGGCGUUUCACCUCCACGCCGUUGCUGAAACACCGAGAUCCUAGACUGCCCUUCGUGGUGGAGGUGGACGACUCAGAAGUGGGCGUGGGGGCCAUCCUGCCCCAACACCAUGGUAACCCACAGAAAUUGCAUCCAUGUGCAUACUACUCUAAGAAACUGUCUUCGACAAAGAGGAACUAUAACUCCGGCAACCGGGAGCUCCUGGCGGUGAAGUUGGCAUUAGAGGAGUGCAGACACUGGCUGGAGGUGGCCAAAGACCCCUUUCUUAUCCUCACCGACCAUCGGAACCUAACCUGUCAUAUUGCCCAUGUUCAAAGGCCACCAAAGCCGAUUCCCUGUCCCGUCUAUACGAUUCGGGAGAGGUUCCUGUCCUGAGUGCGCCCAUCAUUCCGCCCUCCCGAAUCGUUGCCCCCGUGCUUUGGGACAUAGACGUGGACAUCCAGCAGGCUCUGGAAAGGGAACCAGCGCCUGCUACCUGCCCUCCGGAGUGCAACUAUGUCCCCACGGAGGUCAUUGACGCACUGUUCCAGCAGGUCUUCCGGCACUAUGACCUUCCGGAGGACAUCGUCUCUGACCAUGGCCCCCAAUUCACGUCGCAG
Molecule: long non-coding RNA, 2348 nt
Filed under: Salmo salar (Atlantic salmon)
Lineage: Eukaryota; Metazoa; Chordata; Actinopteri; Salmoniformes; Salmonidae
Description: lncRNA (ENSSSAG00000100324.1)
Source: RNAcentral